AAAUGAAUAGACGGGGGCCCGCACAAGCGGUGGAGCAUGUGGUUUAAUUCGAUGAUACGCGAGGAACCUUACCAGGGCUUAAAUGCAGUCCGACAGGCCUAGAGAUAGGCCCUUCCUCGGACGGGCUGCAAGGUGCUGCAUGGUUGUCGUCAGCUCGUGCCGUGAGGUGUCAGGUUAAGUCCUAUAACGAGCGCAACCCCUGCCGUUAGUUGCCAGCAUGUAAUGAUGGGGACUCUAACGGGACUGCCGGUGCAAACCGCGAGGAAGGUGGGGACGACGUCAAAUCAUCACGGCCCUUACGUCCUGGGCCACACACGUGCUACAAUGGCCGGCACAGAGGGCAGCCACCCCGCGAGGGGGCGCGAAUCUCCAAAACCGGUCACAGUUCGGAUCGGGGCCUGCAACUCGGCCCCGUGAAGCUGGAAUCGCUAGUAAUCGGAUAUCAGCCAUGAUCCGGUGAAUACGUUCCCGGGCCUUGUACACACCGCCCGU
RNAcentral lists this ribosomal RNA (492 nucleotides) under uncultured bacterium. RNAcentral describes it as "bacterial SSU rRNA". It matches the Rfam family "Bacterial small subunit ribosomal RNA", at positions 903 to 1397 of the family's 1533-position model. The record is from RNAcentral.